AGCUUCGGGUAAUCGAGCGUAACUUUUGUUAUGUUAGGAAGGUCCAUGCUCGCACAGGCUGCGAUGCCUGUAGUGUUUGUGCUCGCUGAAAAAAUAAGGCGGGGCACCUACUUGAUAGGUGACGGCGGAAAAAAUGGCUACGGUCUUUGACUAUGCCAAAGUAUUCCUGAAAGUGCCACAGUGACGAUACAAUUUGGGAAACCAAGUUGGUGGAACGCGGUAAACCCCUCAAGCGGUAAACCCAAACUUUGGUAGGGGAGCUUUGGAUAACGAAUUGAAGUGAUUCCAGGGGAGUAUCAUUUAUGAUACUGAGAUAGAUGAUUACCACGGUAUUAUUUGGCCUGAAAUAAUACUUUGACAAAACAUGGCCUACAGGA
Molecule: RNase P RNA, 377 nt
Filed under: Limosilactobacillus equigenerosi DSM 18793 = JCM 14505
Lineage: Bacteria; Bacillati; Bacillota; Bacilli; Lactobacillales; Lactobacillaceae
Description: Lactobacillus equigenerosi DSM 18793 = JCM 14505 Bacterial RNase P class B
Rfam family: Bacterial RNase P class B
About the family: Ribonuclease P (RNase P) is a ubiquitous endoribonuclease, found in archaea, bacteria and eukarya as well as chloroplasts and mitochondria.
Source: Rfam by way of RNAcentral